GAUGAACGCUGGCGGCGUGCCUAAUACAUGCAAGUCGAGCGAACAGAUGAGGAGCUUGCUCCUCUGACGUUAGCGGCGGACGGGUGAGUAACACGUGGAUAACCUACCUAUAAGACUGGGAUAACUUCGGGAAACCGGAGCUAAUACCGGAUAAUAUAUUGAACCGCAUGGUUCAAUAGUGAAAGACGGUUUUGCUGUCACUUAUAGAUGGAUCCGCGCCGCAUUAGCUAGUUGGUAAGGUAACGGCUUACCAAGGCAACGAUGCGUAGCCGACCUGAGAGGGUGAUCGGCCACACUGGAACUGAGACACGGUCCAGACUCCUACGGGAGGCAGCAGUAGGGAAUAUUCCGCAAUGGGCGAAAGCCUGACGGAGCAACGCCGCGUGAGUGAUGAAGGUCUUCGGAUCGUAAAGCUCUGUUAUUAGGGAAGAACAAAUGUGUAAGUAACUAUGCACGUCUUGACGGUACCUAAUCAGAAAGCAACGGCUAACUACGUG
RNAcentral lists this ribosomal RNA (497 nucleotides) under uncultured bacterium. Its description in RNAcentral is "partial 16S ribosomal RNA". It matches the Rfam family "Bacterial small subunit ribosomal RNA", at positions 28 to 507 of the family's 1533-position model. The record is from RNAcentral.